AUGCUUGUUUUGGCAGCACAUAUACUAAAACUGGAAUACAGAGAUUAGCAUAGCCCCUGAACAAUGAUUAUACAGAAAUUUGUUAAAAGUUCCAUAUUUUG
Molecule: small nuclear RNA, 101 nt
Organism: Myotis lucifugus (little brown bat)
Lineage: Eukaryota; Metazoa; Chordata; Mammalia; Chiroptera; Vespertilionidae
Source: Ensembl